Molecule: transfer RNA, 73 nt
Filed under: Endomicrobium sp.
Lineage: Bacteria; Pseudomonadati; Elusimicrobiota; Endomicrobiia; Endomicrobiales; Endomicrobiaceae
Description: tRNA-Pro
Rfam family: tRNA
About the family: Transfer RNA (tRNA) molecules are approximately 80 nucleotides in length. Their secondary structure includes four short double-helical elements and three loops (D, anti-codon, and T loops). Further hydrogen bonds mediate the characteristic L-shaped molecular structure. tRNAs have two regions of fundamental functional importance: the anti-codon, which is responsible for specific mRNA codon recognition, and the 3' end, to which the tRNAs corresponding amino acid is attached (by aminoacyl-tRNA synthetases). tRNAs cope with the degeneracy of the genetic code in two manners: having more than one tRNA (with a specific anti-codon) for a particular amino acid; and 'wobble' base-pairing, i.e. permitting non-standard base-pairing at the 3rd anti-codon position.
Source: RNAcentral
CAGGAAGAGCGUAAUUAGCUAUCGUGCCUGUUUUGGGAGCAAGAAAUUGCGGGUUCAAGUUCCGUCUUCCUGA